This is a long non-coding RNA of Hordeum vulgare subsp. vulgare (domesticated barley), 162 nucleotides long. RefSeq lists it as uncharacterized. The record is from RefSeq and is a predicted model, not a curated record. NCBI's taxonomy places the organism in Eukaryota, Viridiplantae, Streptophyta, Magnoliopsida, Poales, Poaceae. The transcript has 3 exons.
UGGAACAGUACAUCAGAGAAGCUCCCAGGGCUGGUAAGGUUGCAAACAAGACCAUUGUUGUGGCAGGAACAUCCAUAUCUGGUCUGCUGGCCAAUUUUAAAUUCUUGUUUAUGCGGAGAGGCGCCGAGCCAGCUGCUAGUGUCCUCUGCUGUUGGCAGUUGU